UACGGAGGGUGCAAGCGUUAUCCGGAUUCACUGGGUUUAAAGGGUGCGUAGGCGGGCAGGUAAGUCCGUGGUGAAAUCUCUGAGCUUAACUCAGAAACUGCCAUGGAUACUAUUUGUCUUGAAUAUUGUGGAGGUAAGCGGAAUAUGUCAUGUAGCGGUGAAAAUGCUUAGAGAUUACAUGGAAUACCAAUUGCGAAGGCAGGUUACUACUAAUGGAUUUUGACGCUGAUGGACGAAAGCGUGGGGUAGCGAACAGG
Molecule: ribosomal RNA, 257 nt
Filed under: uncultured bacterium
Lineage: Bacteria
Description: partial 16S ribosomal RNA
Rfam family: Bacterial small subunit ribosomal RNA
Source: RNAcentral